This 507-nucleotide ribosomal RNA is filed under the name uncultured bacterium. Its description in RNAcentral is "partial 16S ribosomal RNA". It matches the Rfam family "Bacterial small subunit ribosomal RNA", at positions 28 to 507 of the family's 1533-position model. The record is from RNAcentral.
GACGAACGCUGGCGGCGUGCCUAAUACAUGCAAGUCGAACGCAUUUUCUUUCACCGUAGCUUGCUACACCGAAAGAAAAUGAGUGGCGAACGGGUGAGUAACACGUGGGUAACCUGCCCAUCAGCGGGGGAUAACACUUGGAAACAGGUGCUAAUACCGCAUAAUUCCAUUUACUGCAUGGUAGAUGGAUGAAAGGCGCUUUUGCGUCACUGAUGGAUGGACCCGCGGUGCAUUAGCUAGUUGGUGGGGUAACGGCCUACCAAGGCUGCGAUGCAUAGCCGACCUGAGAGGGUGAUCGGCCACACUGGGACUGAGACACGGCCCAGACUCCUACGGGAGGCAGCAGUAGGGAAUCUUCGGCAAUGGACGCAAGUCUGACCGAGCAACGCCGCGUGAGUGAAGAAGGUUUUCGGAUCGUAAGACUCUGUUGUUAGAAAAGAACAAGGAUGAGAGUGGAAAGUUCAUCCCUUGACGGUAUCUAACCAGAAAGCCACGGCUAACUACGUG